UGAGCUUCAACCUGAAAAGAAAUUUUCACUUUAAACUUCACAUCAUUGGCUGGUUUGCCUUUGCCGGAACCUACGCCGGAAGCUUUGUUCUUGCCCAGUUUCGGCUCAACGCAAUCCUUCGCCACAUUUUCAACCAUGCCACUCAAUGUCAACUCAAUAAAAAAAAACAAAGAAAAAAUAAAUAAGUGACUUGUGCGGCAAGCAAAGCAAAUAAAAAAAGUGGCGCAAAAUUUCAAAUUCUGGGCUACUGUCAGUAGCGUGAGUUAACUCACGCCAGUGCUAUCUACCUACGCAACUUAAGUCACGUUUCCCUUACAACUAGCGUGAGUUAAUUCACGCUGAGCCCUACGCCUACUGAAAUGAAAAACGAAACUAUCAGCAAAACCAGCAAAAAUGAAAAAGUUUUGACGGUACAUUACCUGUUCUUUGAUGCUUGAUGAGCGUAGAAACUUGUUUCCUAACGAUUUGCAAUGAUUUGGAAUGAGUAUUUUUACCAAAAAUUUCGCACUUUUGGGGUUUUUGGAGGUGGACGAAAAGA
This 538-nucleotide long non-coding RNA is filed under the name Medicago truncatula (barrel medic). Its description in RNAcentral is "long non-coding RNA (MTRU_LNC005750)". Lineage: Eukaryota; Viridiplantae; Streptophyta; Magnoliopsida; Fabales; Fabaceae. The record is from RNAcentral.